CGAUUUCGACGGUUUCUGAUGUUGAAACCCAGCGAGAGGAGAAGUUCCAGAUAGAUCUGAUGGCUCCACCUCCAGUAAGAUCAUCUCCAGAAAGGGACAGUGAGAUUGGUUUUGUGGCCAUAGAUCCUAAACCUAGAAUCACAGAUGUGGAAACGGAAAUGAAAGCGGCGGUCAAAGAUGAUGAUAAGGCAGUGAAAAUUGGAAAAGAUGUGAAUAUGGAACGAGAGGAGAAAAGGACAAAAGUGGUUGCUGAAGAAGCUGAAUGCCAUAAACCAGUUGUUAUUGCUAAUAAAGAGAGGAAUAUUGAUCUUCAGCUUGAUUUGGAGAAACCUGAUGGUGUCAUCGUUGCUGGAAGUGGCAACAAGGUGCACCAAGAUGUUCAGAAACAACAGCAGCAACCGCAACCACACACUGAGAAAGCUGCUCAAUCAAAUUCUCUUCCUCUACCUAUGUCAAUGGCUGCCUGGCCCGGUGGGCUUCCUCACAUGGGAUAUAUGGC
This 499-nucleotide unclassified non-coding RNA is filed under the name Hevea brasiliensis (rubber tree). The record is from RNAcentral. Lineage: Eukaryota; Viridiplantae; Streptophyta; Magnoliopsida; Malpighiales; Euphorbiaceae.